AGAGUUUGAUCCUGGCUCAGGAUGAACGCUGGCGGCGUGCUUAACACAUGCAAGUCGAACGGGAAAUACUUUAUUGAAACUUCGGUCGAUUUAAUUUAUUUCUAGUGGCGGACGGGUGAGUAACGCGUGGGUAACCUGCCUUAUACUGGGGGAUAACAGCCAGAAAUGACUGCUAAUACCGCAUAAGCGCACAGAACCGCAUGGUUCGGUGUGAAAAACUCCGGUGGUAUAAGAUGGACCCGCGUUGGAUUAGCUAGUUGGCAGGGCAGCGGCCUACCAAGGCGACGAUCCAUAGCCGGCCUGAGAGGGUGAACGGCCACAUUGGGACUGAGACACGGCCCAGACUCCUACGGGAGGCAGCAGUGGGGAAUAUUGCACAAUGGGGGAAACCCUGAUGCAGCGACGCCGCGUGAAGGAAGAAGUAUCUCGGUAUGUAAACUUCUAUCAGCAGGGAAGAUAAUGACGGUACCUGACUAAGAAGCCCCGGCUAACUACGUGCCAGCAGCCGCGGUAAUACGUAGGGGGCAAGCGUUAUCCGGAUUUACUGGGUGUAAAGGGAGCGUAGACGGCGCAGCAAGUCUGAUGUGAAAGGCAGGGGCUUAACCCCUGGACUGCAUUGGAAACUGCUGUGCUUGAGUGCCGGAGGGGUAAGCGGAAUUCCUAGUGUAGCGGUGAAAUGCGUAGAUAUUAGGAGGAACACCAGUGGCGAAGGCGGCUUACUGGACGGUAACUGACGUUGAGGCUCGAAGCGUGGGGGCAACAGGAUAGAUACCCUGGUAGUCCACCCGUAACAUGAAUCUAGUGUAGGAGCAAGCUCUUGUGCGC
Molecule: ribosomal RNA, 825 nt
Filed under: uncultured Ruminococcus sp.
Lineage: Bacteria; Bacillati; Bacillota; Clostridia; Eubacteriales; Oscillospiraceae
Description: bacterial SSU rRNA
Rfam family: Bacterial small subunit ribosomal RNA
Source: RNAcentral